This 1186-nucleotide long non-coding RNA is filed under the name Meriones unguiculatus (Mongolian gerbil). RNAcentral describes it as "lncRNA (ENSMUGG00000001534.1)". The record is from RNAcentral. Lineage: Eukaryota; Metazoa; Chordata; Mammalia; Rodentia; Muridae.
GUCCGUCCGUCCGUCCAUCCACCGAUCUAUCCAUCCAUCCUUCCACCCAUCCAUCAUCAUCAUCCAUCAUCAUCCAUCACCAACCCAUCCAUCAUCAUCAUCAUCAUCAUCCAUCCAUCAUCAUCAUCAUCAACCCAUCCAUCCAUCAUCAUCAUCAUCAUCCACCAUCAUCACCAUCAUCAUCCAUCCAUCAUCAUCAUCAUCCAUCAUCAUCAUCCAUCAUCAUCAUUCAUCAUCAUCAUCCAUCAUCAUCAUCCAUCAUCAUCCAUCCAUCAUCAUCAUCCAUCACCAUCAUCAUCCAUCAUCAUUAUUCAUCAUCAUCCACCAUCAUCACCAUCAUCAUCCAUCCUUCAAUCCAUCCAUCCAUCUAUCCAUCCUUCUGACCAUCCAUCAUCAUCAUCCAUCAUCAUCACCCAUCAUCAUCAUCCAUCAUCAUCAUCCAUCAUCAUCAUCCAUCACCAUCAUCAUCCAUCAUCAUCAUCAUCCAUCAUCCUCCAUCAUCGUCAUCAUCCAUCAUCAUCCAUCAUCAUCAUCCAUCAUCCUCCAUCAACAUCAUCAUCCAUCAUCAUCCUCCAUCAACAUCAUCAUCCAUCAUCAUCAUCAUCAUCAUCAUCAUCCAUCCUUCUAUCUGACCAUCCAUCAUCAUCCAUCAUCAUCAUCCAUCAUCAUCCAUCAUCAUCCAUCAUCAUCAUCAUCACCAUCAUCAUCAUCCAUCAUCAUCAUCAUCAUCCAUCAUCAUCCACCAUCACCAUCAUCAUCAUCAUAAUCAUCAUCAUCCAUCAUCAUCAUCAUCCAUCAUCAUCAUCAUCAUCCAUCAUCAUCAUCAUCAUCAUCAUCAUCAUCCAUCAUCAUCAUCAUCCAUCCUUCUAUCUGACAAUCCAUCCAUCCUUCUAUCCGUCCAUCCGCCCAUCUGUCUCCUGCCGAGGCCAGGUCCUCGCGCUUCCAUCACCAUCACCAUCACCAUCACCAUCAUCCAUCAUCAUCAUCAUCAUCCAUCCAUCAUCAUCAUCAUCAUCCAUCAUCAUCCAUCAUCAUCAUCAUCAUCAUCAUCCAUCAUCAUCAUCAUCAUCAUCAUCAUCACCAUCAUCAUCCAUCAUCAUCAUCCAUCCAUCAUCAUCAUCAUCCAUCAUCAUCCAUCAUCAUCAUCAUCCACCAUCAUCAUCAUCCAUCAUCAUAAUCAUCAUCC